RNAcentral lists this ribosomal RNA (253 nucleotides) under uncultured bacterium. RNAcentral describes it as "partial 16S ribosomal RNA". It matches the Rfam family "Bacterial small subunit ribosomal RNA", at positions 524 to 776 of the family's 1533-position model. The record is from RNAcentral.
UACGUAGGGUGCAAGCGUUAAUCGGAAUUACUGGGCGUAAAGCGUGCGCAGGCGGUUAUGCAAGACAGAUGUGAAAUCCCGGGGCUCAACUCCGGAACUGCAUUUGAUACUGCCUUGCUAGAGUACUGGAGAGGAGAUUGGAAUUUACGGUGUAGCAGUGAAAUGCGUAGAUAUCGUAAGGAAGACCAGUGGCGAAGGCGAAUCUCUGGACAGUUACUGACGCUGAGGCACGAAGGCCAGGGGAGCAAACGGG